CGGUAAUACGGAGGGUGCGAGCGUUAAUCGGAAUUACUGGGCGUAAAGCGCAUGCAGGUGGUUUGUUUAAGUCAGAUGUGAAAGACCCGGGGCGUCAACCUCGGAAUAGCAUUUGAAACUAGGCAGACUAGAGUACUGUAGAGGGGGGUAGGAAUUUCUAGGUGUAGCGGUGAAAAUGCGUAGAGAUCUGAAGGAAUACCGGUGGCGAAGGCGGCCCCCUCGGACAGAUACUGACACUCAGAUGCGAAAGCGUGGGGACGCAAACAGGAUUAGAUACCCCUGGUAG
RNAcentral lists this ribosomal RNA (286 nucleotides) under uncultured bacterium. Its description in RNAcentral is "partial 16S ribosomal RNA". It matches the Rfam family "Bacterial small subunit ribosomal RNA", at positions 518 to 793 of the family's 1533-position model. The record is from RNAcentral.